This 433-nucleotide ribosomal RNA is filed under the name uncultured bacterium. RNAcentral's name for it is "partial 16S ribosomal RNA". It matches the Rfam family "Bacterial small subunit ribosomal RNA", at positions 29 to 507 of the family's 1533-position model. The record is from RNAcentral.
AACGAACGCUGGCGGCAUGCCUAACACAUGCAAGUCGAACGAGACCUUCGGGUCUAGUGGCGCACGGGUGCGUAACGCGUGGGAACCUGCCUUUAGGUUCGGGAUAACUCAGAGAAAUUUGAGCUAAUACCGGAUGAUGUCUUCGGACCAAAGAUUUAUCGCCUUUAGAUGGGCCCGCGUUGGAUAAGCUAGUUGGUGGGGUAAAGGCCUACAAAGGCGACGAUCCAUAGCUGGUCUGAGAGGAUGAUCAGCCACACUGGGACUGAGACACGGCCCAGACUCCUACGGGAGGCAGCAGUGGGGAAUAUUGGACAAUGGGCGAAAGCCUGAUCCAGCAAUGCCGCGUGAGUGAUGAAGGCCUUAGGGUUGUAAAGCUCUUUUACCCGAGAUGAUAAUGACAGUAUCGGGAGAAUAAGCUCCGGCUAACUCCGUG